UUUCCAGGAAUUGGGCCACCGCCCACUUUUUUGGUCUCUGAUAGUUGGCCUCAGAACUGUCAUGGCGCUGGAGGGUGUGUCACUUACCUUAUGCUAAUGUAUUACAAUGAGCAUAUGAUGAGGCUCAAGGUCCACUGGAAGUCGAAUAUUCUGCCAUCUUGGACCUAGUUGGUUCUAACCAGUUUUCGUCAUAUCCUAUGGCUAUGUCAUGCUUUUAAACGCCGUGCCCUGUCCCCUUCCCUCCUGUUUCAUAACCACUGGACUGCCAGGGAAUUCCCUGCCCUGCUGCUCUCAAGAGAAGAGCGUGCUGGUAGGACACUGCUGGUCCCAGGAAAGGAAAGAUGAGAGACACAUGGAGCAGAGCCCCUCUAACUGAGCCGAGCCUAGAUCAGCUGACCUGCUGACAUCUGAGAGACAAGAAAAGAUGAUUGUUUUAAGUCAUCACGUUUGGGGGUGUUUUGUUAUGCAUCAGCAGUUAUCCAACCAGGUCACCUAAGCCAGGAACCUGAGCAUUACCUUUGCUGCUCCCUUUCGCAAUCCACGAUGUUCCCAGAGCUUCCUAAGUAUCUCUGGAAUCCAUCUAGUCUCCAUCCUCAGCACCUCUUGAGGUGUUAGCCCUAGCUCAGGCCUCCUGCAGCUACAUUCUAACUCAUUUUUCCUUCCUCCCCUUUGCCCCCAUUCUCCACACACAGCAUCUUGAGUGACCUUCCUUAUACCCAAUCUGAUCACGUGACUCCUGUGGGUUUGCCUCGCCCUCAGGCUGUGGUGUCCUUAGGGCCUGAUAUGGGAAGGAACCUUGCUAGGCACUGUGGACAACCUGGUCAUGGUGAAGAGACACCUCCAGGGCAGUUUCUGCUUUGUUCCUAAAUCCCUGGUGCAGGGAGCCAGGUUCAAGGUUGGAGCUGAUAAGCAAAAGGCCAGCCUCAGGCCACGGCAGCAUUUCCCAAGGGUUCCCUGAAACCCCUCUACUACUGGCUGGGCCUUUUCAGGGCGUCAACAGGGAAGACAGUAUGAGACGCGUUGAUAACUUGGAAUUAAGAUUUCCAUCCUUAUUCCUUGCUAAAGGAUCAGAUCGUGGGUGUACAGUCUCCUUAAACAGGCAAAUGGGCUCUCAGACCUCUAGUCUUCUUUGUGGCCACAGUGAAAGUGCUAUUACAUCAAGAGAAAGGAUGAGUCACCAGUCACCAGCAUGGGGUAGAGAUGCCACAACCCAUAGAGAACGGCACCCCUGACCAAGAGUAGGUCUUCCUGUGAGGCAGCUUGAGAAACAGCCAGCUGCCUCAGCCUUCAAGAGACUUUUAUAUUUUGCCAUGGGCCUUCUCGCAAGGCUGCCCAGCAGAUUGUCUUGUGUAGUGGUUAAACAUGUAAAUUCUGCACCCAAACUCACUAGCUUUGGGUCCAGCCCUGCCACUGACCUUGGGACCUUGGGCUAAGAAGAGGAUCUGGGUUCCAAGAAGCUCAAGUUCAGCAAGAGAGAUAUGGGUAAUAAGACCAUUGCAUCAGGGGCUCUGCUGCGCUGGGGGCUCCUGGGCGGAGCACCUGGGUGGGUGUUGGGAAGGCUUCUGCGGGACACACUAGGUGGAAUGAGGGGGAGAGAAGGGGUCCUCAGCUCCAGGAAGAGAAGGAGUGAGUCUGCUUUUGGUUCUCAUCCCCCUUCACCGUGCCUGGAAUACCAGCUGACCGCAGGAGUGACGAAGGAGUCCCCUCCGGGGGAAGUGGGGGCGAGGUGGCUCAGGAGCUCUGACUUUAAAUGCAGAGGUGGGAUGCGGCACACGUCAGACUGGGGAUAAAUGCAGAGGUGGGAUGCGGCACACGUCAGAGCUGGGGAACUACUCAGAUCUACUGGGUCAGGACAGGGCCUGCUGGAGCCCCAUGCCUCCAAACCCAGGGCACAUUUCCCUGUGCCCCCUAACUCACCACUAUGAGUGGACAGCUACUGCAGUACCCGAGAGGGACGGCCAUGUAAGUCCCCAGGCUCAGGGCCCCCAGAGAGACAGGGACAAGCCGGCUUAAGGUUGAAUCCUCUGGCCCAGGCGUCCUCCGAGAGAAGGCAGGCAGCGUUAGGGCCAGGCCUGUGCAGGGAGCACAUUUGGAUGGGAAGCGGGGCGGGGCGGGAUUGGAGGGAGCGGGCUGCGCAGGGGAAACCCGUCGGUCGCCCAGGUGCGAAGCUCAGGCGGAGGCCGAGCCGCGAUGUGUCCUCGCCCUGUUCACCAGCAGGCGGCGCCAGAGCUUAAGGCCGCGGGGGCCUCGGGUCCCGGAGUCCGGCCGGGCGGGGCGAGGGGCGGACCCCGGCGCAUCGGAGCGUUGGGGCGCGGGGGCAGUCCGGCGGCGGGAAGGACCGGCAGAGCGACACGCUUCCUGGAACCUCCGUGGCCAUGGCUGAGCACACCGGUCGCCGCUGCUGCCUGGGCUGGGACUUCAGCACGCAGCAGGUAAAAGUUGUUGCAGUUGAUGCAGAGCUGAAUGUCUUCUAUGAGGACAGUGUGCAUUUUGACAGAGACCUUCUAGAAUUUGGGACUCAGGGUGGAGUUCAUGUUCACGAGGAUGGGCUGACAGUGACUUCUCCAGUCCUGAUGUGGGUCCAGGCUUUGGAUAUCAUCUUGGAGAAGAUGAAGGCUUCAGGCUUUGACUUCUCUCAAGUCCUCGCCUUGUCUGGGGCGGGCCAGCAACAUGGAAGCGUGUACUGGAAGGCUGGGGCCAGCCAGGUUCUGGCAAGCUUGUCACCGGACCUCCUGUUGCACGAGCAGCUGCAGGCCUGUUUCUCCAUCAGUGACUGCCCGGUGUGGAUGGACUCCAGCACCACAGCCCAGUGCCGCCAGCUGGAGGCCACCGUGGGUGGGGCCCAGGCUCUCAGCUGCCUCACCGGGUCCCGCGCCUAUGAGCGAUUUACAGGAAACCAAAUUGCAAAGCUUUACCAGCAGAACCCCGAGGCUUACUCACACACAGAGAGAAUUUCCUUGGUCAGUAGUUUUGCUGCUUCUCUGUUCCUUGGGUCUCACUCUCCUAUUGACUACAGUGACGGUUCUGGAAUGAACUUGCUGCGGAUCCAGGACAAAGUCUGGUCGCAGGCUUGCCUUGGUGCCUGUGCACCUCAUCUAGAAGAGAAGCUCGGCCUGCCGGUGCCGUCAUGCUCGGUUGUGGGGGCCAUUUCUUCCUACUUCGUCCAGCGCUAUGGGUUUCCUCCAGGAUGCAAAGUGGUGGCCUUCACUGGGGACAACCCAGCGUCGCUGGCAGGCAUGAGGCUGGAGGAAGGUGACAUUGCGGUCAGCCUGGGCACCAGCGACACCCUGUUUCUCUGGCUCCAGGAGCCCACGCCCACCCUGGAAGGCCACAUCUUCUGCAACCCGGUUGACCCCCAGCACUACAUGGCGCUCCUGUGCUUUAAAAACGGCUCCCUCAUGAGAGAGAAGAUCCGCGAUGAGUUGGCUUCCAGUUCCUGGAGCGAGUUCUCUAAGGCGCUGCAGUCCACAGAGAUGGGGAACAGCGGAAACCUGGGUUUUUAUUUUGAUGUAAUGGAGAUCACCCCUGAAAUUAUUGGGCGUCAUAGGUUUAGUGCAGAAAACCAUGAGGUCUCAGCAUUCCCCUGGGACGUGGAGAUUCGAGCACUGAUCGAAGGACAGUUCAUGGCCAAGAAGAUCCAUGCCGAGGGCCUGGGCUAUCGAGUCAUGCCUAAGACAAAGAUUUUGGCCACCGGAGGAGCAUCUCACAACAGAGACAUCUUGCAGGCCUUGCAGCUGGAACAGAUGUGCCCUUUUCAGAGGUUGUGAAGUUAGCCCCAAAUCCCAGAUUAGCUGCUGCCCCAACCCCAGGAGCGUCUCAGGUCUACGAGGCCCUCCUCCAGCGGUAUGCCAUGCUUGAGCAGAGAAUCCUGACCCAGACCCGGGGGCCUCCGGAGUGAAUUCCACAGGCCCAGUCUCACUGAUUCCACUUGGAGACGUGGCCUUGGACAGCAGGGAACCUCUUCCCUGUUGCAAGCAGCUCUGCCUGCCCACCUGACGCCUUACGGUGCUCCAACCUGCCCAGGACCACCUUAAAGCCCACCUUAGCACAUCCUCCUGAACACAGCUUGUGUCCCUGUGCCCUUGUGCCCAGGGCAGGAAAGCAUCUCUCUUCCUGUCUUUUAUCCCAGGAGGCAAGAUAACACUGAGCCUGGGAUAUGUCCAAUAAAAAUUGUGACUUUUCCCCUUUUGGGACCUAAAUCAGCAGAAUGGGAGAGACAAAGCGAAAUAAAUAGAUUCUUUCCUCUUUA
RNA transcript from Aethalodelphis obliquidens (Pacific white-sided dolphin), 4249 nucleotides. It is a transcript of the gene named xylulokinase, with no coding region annotated. The record is from RefSeq and is a predicted model, not a curated record. The transcript has 18 exons. Lineage: Eukaryota; Metazoa; Chordata; Mammalia; Artiodactyla; Delphinidae.